UACGUAGGUGGCAAGCGUUGUCCGGAAUUAUUGGGCGUAAAGCGUGCGUAGGUGGUCUUUUAAGUCGGAUGUGAAAUCCCUGAGCUUAACUUAGGAAUUGCAUUCGAUACUGGGAGACUAGAGUAUGGGAGAGGAUGGUAGAAUUCCAGGUGUAGCGGUGAAAUGCGUAGAGAUCUGGAGGAAUACCGAUGGCGAAGGCAGCCAUCUGGCCUAAUACUGACGCUGAGGUACGAAAGCAUGGGGAGCAAACAGG
This 253-nucleotide ribosomal RNA is filed under the name uncultured Acinetobacter sp. Its description in RNAcentral is "partial 16S ribosomal RNA". It matches the Rfam family "Bacterial small subunit ribosomal RNA", at positions 524 to 776 of the family's 1533-position model. Lineage: Bacteria; Pseudomonadati; Pseudomonadota; Gammaproteobacteria; Moraxellales; Moraxellaceae. The record is from RNAcentral.